This 2780-nucleotide ribosomal RNA is filed under the name Shigella dysenteriae. RNAcentral's name for it is "bacterial LSU rRNA". It matches the Rfam family "Bacterial large subunit ribosomal RNA". Lineage: Bacteria; Pseudomonadati; Pseudomonadota; Gammaproteobacteria; Enterobacterales; Enterobacteriaceae. The record is from RNAcentral.
AGCGUACACGGUGGAUGCCCUGGCAGUCAGAGGCGAUGAAGGACGUGCUAAUCUGCGAUAAGCGUCGGUAAGGUGAUAUGAACCGUUAUAACCGGCGAUUUCCGAAUGGGGAAACCCAGUGUGAUUCGUCACACUAUCAUUAACUGAAUCCAUAGGUUAAUGAGGCGAACCGGGGGAACUGAAACAUCUAAGUACCCCGAGGAAAAGAAAUCAACCGAGAUUCCCCAGUAGCGGCGAGCGAACGGGGAGCAGCCCAGAGCCUGAAUCAGUGUGUGUGUUAGUGGAAGCGUCUGGAAAGGCGUGCGAUACAGGGUGACAGCCCCGUACACAAAAAUGCACAUAUUGUGAGCUCGAUGAGUAGGGCGGGACACGUGGUAUCCUGUCUGAAUAUGGGGGGACCAUCCUCCAAGGCUAAAUACUCCUGACUGACCGAUAGUGAACCAGUACCGUGAGGGAAAGGCGAAAAGAACCCCGGCGAGGGAGUGAAAAAGAACCUGAAACCGUGUACGUACAAGCAGUGGGAGCACGCUUAGGCGUGUGACUGCGUACCUUUUGUAUAAUGGGUCAGCGACUUAUAUUCUGUAGCAAGGUUAACCGAAUAGGGGAGCCGAAGGGAAACCGAGUCUUAACUGGGCGUUAAGUUGCAGGGUAUAGACCCGAAACCCGGUGAUCUAGCCAUGGGCAGGUUGAAGGUUGGGUAACACUAACUGGAGGACCGAACCGACUAAUGUUGAAAAAUUAGCGGAUGACUUGUGGCUGGGGUGAAAGGCCAAUCAAACCGGGAGAUAGCUGGUUCUCCCCGAAAGCUAUUUAGGUAGCGCCUCGUGAAUUCAUCUCCGGGGUAGAGCACUGUUUCGGCAAGGGGGUCAUCCCGACUUACCAACCCGAUGCAAACUGCGAAUACCGGAGAAUGUUAUCACGGGAGACACACGGCGGGUGCUAACGUCCGUCGUGAAGAGGGAAACAACCCAGACCGCCAGCUAAGGUCCCAAAGUCAUGGUUAAGUGGGAAACGAUGUGGGAAGGCCCAGACAGCCAGGAUGUUGGCUUAGAAGCAGCCAUCAUUUAAAGAAAGCGUAAUAGCUCACUGGUCGAGUCGGCCUGCGCGGAAGAUGUAACGGGGCUAAACCAUGCACCGAAGCUGCGGCAGCGACACUAUGUGUUGUUGGGUAGGGGAGCGUUCUGUAAGCCUGUGAAGGUGUACUGUGAGGUAUGCUGGAGGUAUCAGAAGUGCGAAUGCUGACAUAAGUAACGAUAAAGCGGGUGAAAAGCCCGCUCGCCGGAAGACCAAGGGUUCCUGUCCAACGUUAAUCGGGGCAGGGUGAGUCGACUCCUAAGGCGAGGCCGAAAGGCGUAGUCGAUGGGAAACAGGUUAAUAUUCCUGUACUUGGUGUUACUGCGAAGGGGGGACGGAGAAGGCUAUGUUGGCCGGGCGACGGUUGUCCCGGUUUAAGCGUGUAGGCUGGUUUUCCAGGCAAAUCCGGAAAACUAAGGCUGAGGCGUGAUGACGAGGCACUACGGUGCUGAAGCAACAAAUGCCCUGCUUCCAGGAAAAGCCUCUAAGCAUCAGGUAACAUCAAAUCGUACCCCAAACCGACACAGGUGGUCAGGUAGAGAAUACCAAGGCGCUUGAGAGAACUCGGGUGAAGGAACUAGGCAAAAUGGUGCCGUAACUUCGGGAGAAGGCACGCUGAUAUGUAGGUGAAGUCCCUCGCGGAUGGAGCUGAAAUCAGUCGAAGAUACCAGCUGGCUGCAACUGUUUAUUAAAAACACAGCACUGUGCAAACACGAAAGUGGACGUAUACGGUGUGACGCCUGCCCGGUGCCGGAAGGUUAAUUGAUGGGGUCAGCGCAAGCGAAGCUCUUGAUCGAAGCCCGGUAAACGGCGGCCGUAACUAUAACGGUCCUAAGGUAGCGAAAUUCCUUGUCGGGUAAGUUCCGACCUGCACGAAUGGCGUAAUGAUGGCCAGGCUGUCUCCACCCGAGACUCAGUGAAAUUGAACUCGCUGUGAAGAUGCAGUGUACCCGCGGCAAGACGGAAAGACCCCGUGAACCUUUACUAUAGCUUGACACUGAACAUUGAGCCUUGAUGUGUAGGAUAGGUGGGAGGCUUUGAAGUGUGGACGCCAGUCUGCAUGGAGCCGACCUUGAAAUACCACCCUUUAAUGUUUGAUGUUCUAACGUUGACCCGUAAUCCGGGUUGCGGACAGUGUCUGGUGGGUAGUUUGACUGGGGCGGUCUCCUCCUAAAGAGUAACGGAGGAGCACGAAGGUUGGCUAAUCCUGGUCGGACAUCAGGAGGUUAGUGCAAUGGCAUAAGCCAGCUUGACUGCGAGCGUGACGGCGCGAGCAGGUGCGAAAGCAGGUCAUAGUGAUCCGGUGGUUCUGAAUGGAAGGGCCAUCGCUCAACGGAUAAAAGGUACUCCGGGGAUAACAGGCUGAUACCGCCCAAGAGUUCAUAUCGACGGCGGUGUUUGGCACCUCGAUGUCGGCUCAUCACAUCCUGGGGCUGAAGUAGGUCCAAGGGUAUGGCUGUUCGCCAUUUAAAGUGGUACGCGAGCUGGGUUUAGAACGUCGUGAGACAGUUCGGUCCCUAUCUGCCGUGGGCGCUGGAGAACUGAGGGGGGCUGCUCCUAGUACGAGAGGACCGGAGUGGACGCAUCACUGGUGUUCGGGUUGUCAUGCCAAUGGCACUGCCCGGUAGCUAAAUGCGGAAGAGAUAAGUGCUGAAAGCAUCUAAGCACGAAACUUGCCCCGAGAUGAGUUCUCCCUGACUCCUUGA